ACAACACAAAUGUUAGGGUUACCCUCCCUACCCAUCUUUACAACAGUGUAUUGAAGGAGUAGCACAAAUAUAAUGUGACGUAGGGAUGCUUGUCCCUGCUGGAAUGGAAAUGUUUUGUUUACUGGAUGGCAAAUACUGAAGCUUUAUCAGUGAGAGAGCUAGGCAGAAAGAGGCUGCAGUUUGACUUUGCUAAACUUUUACACAAUUUUUCCUCCACAUGAAAUAUUUCCACAGGAAUAUAAUGCUUGUGAAAGAUGCUGGAGCAACAGUUGCAGAGAUUGAACUCCUCUACCCGCAGGAAAGGUUUUUCUACACGAGCAGGAAGUCUUCUCUUCCCUGUUACGGGGACACUAACCUCUUGAUCACAAUGAGGGGAAGAAAGGAUGGACCAGCAGCAACGUGGAGUGGGGUGACGUCCACACUUGGACUCUUUGAACACUGUCCUGCUAACAUGGAGAACUGAAUAAAAGAGUUGUGAAUUCUAACUCAUGAGAGUAUGAGGUUCUUUUUGGUAUCAUAUGCACCAAUUCCCCUUUCUUCAAGUGCUGGUU
This 551-nucleotide long non-coding RNA is filed under the name Calidris pugnax (ruff). RNAcentral's name for it is "lncRNA (ENSCPUG00000007058.1)". The record is from RNAcentral. Lineage: Eukaryota; Metazoa; Chordata; Aves; Charadriiformes; Scolopacidae.